This 349-nucleotide ribosomal RNA is filed under the name uncultured bacterium. RNAcentral describes it as "bacterial SSU rRNA". It matches the Rfam family "Bacterial small subunit ribosomal RNA", at positions 8 to 353 of the family's 1533-position model. The record is from RNAcentral.
AGAGUUUGAUCAUGGCUCAGGAUGAACGCUAGCUACAGGCUUAACACAUGCAAGUCGAGGGGCAUCAGGGUGUAGCAAUACACCGCUGGCGACCGGCGCACGGGUGAGUAACACGUAUCCAACCUGCCUCAUACUCGGGGAUAGCCUUUCGAAAGAAAGAUUAAUAUCCGAUAGCAUAUAUUUCCCGCAUGGGUUUUAUAUUAAAGAAAUUCGGUAUGAGAUGGGGAUGCGUUCCAUUAGUUUGUUGGCGGGGUAACGGCCCACCAAGACUACGAUGGAUAGGGGUUCUGAGAGGAAGGUCCCCCACAUUGGAACUGAGACACGGUCCAAACUCCUACGGGAGGCAGCA